Molecule: ribosomal RNA, 279 nt
Filed under: uncultured bacterium
Lineage: Bacteria
Description: partial 16S ribosomal RNA
Rfam family: Bacterial small subunit ribosomal RNA
Source: RNAcentral
UGCCAGCAGCCGCGGUAAUACGAAGGGCCCGAGCGUUAAUCAGAAUCACUGGGCUUAAAGCGUGUGUAGGCGGACAUAAAGGCGCCUUGUGAAAUCCCUCGGCUCAACCGAGGAACUGCAGGGCGAACCAUGUGUCUUGAGACAGGUAGGGGUCGUCGGAACGGUAGGUGGAGUGGUGAAAUGCGUUGAUAUCUACCGGAACGCCGAAGGAGAAGUCAGGCGACUGGGCCUGUUCUGACGCUGAGACACGAAAGCGUGGGGAGCGAACGGGAUUAGAUA